CCUACGGGUGGCAGCAGUGAGGAAUAUUGGUCAAUGGCCGCAGGGCUGAACCAGCCAAGCCGCGUGCGGGAUGACGGUCCUAUGGAUUGUAAACCUCUUUUGUCAGGGAGCAAACGGCGCCACGCGUGGCGUUUUGCGAGUACCUUACGAAAAAGCAUCGGCUAACUCCGUGCCAGCAGCCGCGGUAAUCCGGAGGAUGCGAGCGUUAUCCGGCUUUAUUGGGUUUAAAGGGUGCGAAGGCGGAAGGUACAGUCGGAGGGAAACUCUCGGGGUUAAACCCCGUCGUGCCGUUGAUACUGGCGUGCUAGAGUGUGGGAGAAGUAUGCAGAAUGCGUGGUGUAGCGGUGAAAUGCAUAGAGAUCACGCAGAACACCGAUUGCGAAGGCAGCAUACCGG
This 396-nucleotide ribosomal RNA is filed under the name uncultured bacterium. RNAcentral's name for it is "partial 16S ribosomal RNA". It matches the Rfam family "Bacterial small subunit ribosomal RNA", at positions 338 to 732 of the family's 1533-position model. The record is from RNAcentral.